UGCGCAGGCGGAAUGAUCAGUCAGUGGUGAAAACCUACAGCUCAACUGUAGACCCGCCAUUGAUACUGUCAUUCUUGAGUACAGUGGAAGUGGGCGGAAUGUAUCAUGUAGCGGUGAAAUGCAUAGAUAUGAUACAGAACUCCGAUAGCGUAAGCAGCUCACUAUACUGUAACUGACGCUCAGGCACGAAAGCGUGGGGAGCAAACAGGAUUAGAUACCCUGGUAGUCC
This 229-nucleotide ribosomal RNA is filed under the name uncultured bacterium. RNAcentral describes it as "partial 16S ribosomal RNA". It matches the Rfam family "Bacterial small subunit ribosomal RNA", at positions 568 to 796 of the family's 1533-position model. The record is from RNAcentral.